This 460-nucleotide ribosomal RNA is filed under the name uncultured bacterium. RNAcentral describes it as "partial 16S ribosomal RNA". It matches the Rfam family "Bacterial small subunit ribosomal RNA", at positions 338 to 795 of the family's 1533-position model. The record is from RNAcentral.
CCUACGGGAGACAGCAGUGAGGAAUAUUGGUCAAUGGACGCAAGUCUGAACCAGCCAAGUAGCGUGCAGGAUGACGGCCCUAUGGGUUGUAAACUUCUUUUAUAUGGGGAUAAAAUGUUCCACGUGUGGGCUUUUGUAUGUACCAUAUGAAUAAGGAUCGGCUAACUCCGUUCCAGCAGCCGCGGUAAUACGGAGGGUCCGGGCGUUAAUCGGAUUUAUUGGGGUUAAAGGGAGCGUAGGUGGAUUGUUAAGUCAGUUGUGAAAGUUUGCGGCUCAACCGUAAAAUUGCAGUGGAAACUGGCAGUCUUGAGUACAGUAGAGGUGGGCGGAAUUCGUGGUGUAGCGGUGAAAUGCUUAGAUAGCACGAAGAACACCGAUUGCGAAGGCAGCUCACUGGACUGCAACUGACACUGAGGCUCGAAAGUGUGGGUAUCAAACAGGAUUAGAUACCCCUGUAGUC